This 368-nucleotide ribosomal RNA is filed under the name uncultured organism. Its description in RNAcentral is "bacterial SSU rRNA". It matches the Rfam family "Bacterial small subunit ribosomal RNA", at positions 526 to 896 of the family's 1533-position model. The record is from RNAcentral.
CGUAGGUGGCAAGCGUUGUCCGGAUUUAUUGGGUUUAAAGGGUGCGUAGGCGGUCCUAUAAGUCAGUGCUGAAAUAUCCCGGCUUAACCGGGAGGGUGGCAUUGACACUGCAGGACUUGAGUAAAGUUGAGGUUGGCGGAAUUGACGGUGUAGCGGUGAAAUGCUUAGAUAUCGUCAAGAACACCGAUAGUGAAGACAGCUAACUAAGCUUUAACUGACGCUGAGGCACGAAAGUGUGGGGAUCAAACAGGAUUAGAUACCCUGGUAGUCCACACUGUAAACGUUGAUUACUCGAUGUUGGCGAUACACAGCCAGCGUCUUAGCGCAAGCGAUAAGUAAUCCACCUGGGGAGUACGCCGGCAACGGUG